Molecule: non-coding RNA, 23 nt
Filed under: Arabidopsis thaliana (thale cress)
Lineage: Eukaryota; Viridiplantae; Streptophyta; Magnoliopsida; Brassicales; Brassicaceae
Source: RNAcentral
GCAAUUUCUGACGUGGCAGUGGC